UCCGCCGCGCCCCUGUCUUCCUCUGUGCCCUCACUCUAGCGGUAGGCAGAAACCCUAGAAUCGAGGGAUGACUCUGGACUAGGGAUUUAGAUGGAUUCUGGGCGCAGUACUCCGGCUCCUGAUGGGAGCGAUGCAGAGGAUACUUUUAAAAUAACUUUUAGAGUCGCCGAGUUUGUCGCCAAGCCUAGUGAUGGUGUUCUCGUCCAUUCUCCAAAGCAAGAUGUGGUCUUGCAGCAGGUUAACAUUAGAGGGAUGACAUUGGAGAAGCUAAAAUCCAUAAUGAGAGAGUCUAUUUCUUAUGGUUCAUGUCAGGAUGUGCAUCUUUUCUGCGAAGACAAGACUGUAGGAGGGGUUGAUAGUAUGAUUCAAAAUGACAGCGAGUUGCUUGUUGCAUUUAUGGACAGAUGGGAAUCAAAACAAUUCCUUCUUCUCGCUGAAGUAGUGGACUUAGCUAACAUACCAUCAAGUGCAGCUAGCCAUUGCAGUGACGUGAAUGCAAAUCAUCUACCCAUUGUAGACUGGUCCACCAUUGAGAUUGAAACAGUAGAAGAUGGUAACAUGGAUGCUCCUAUAUCUCAGGAAAAAAUGUGUUUGGCCUUAGGCAUUAAUGAAAGCUCUAUUCUUCAUCCUCCUGCGCCAAUAGUUGAAUCUGUUGUUGAUAAGGAGCUGUUAGAUGAAGCUGCGAUAGCAGUUGAUGACAACAUGCCAGAAGAGUUAAAUAUUUCCUAUGACAUAGACCACCCAACGGUAGAGAUUGGGACUAUGUUUCCUUCUAUGCACGAUUGUAGAAUGGCAAUACGACAAUUUGCCAUCAAUGAGGAAUUUGAUCUUGGCACUAAAAAGGCUGAUCGGACUAGAUGGUCUGGCGAAUGUUUGGCCGAUGGUUGCCCAUGGACUAUAACAGCUCGUGUAAUGGCCGAUAAGAAAACAACACGGAUAACCCAAAUAAAGGGGCCCCACAAGUGUUAUUCAAGCAGCCAGGUGACAUCUUCCAUGGCAUCUCAAGCAUGGGUGAAACAAAGGUCAAUCAAGAUACUCCGACAAGAGCCAAAUAUAGGUGCUAAGGCCCUUAGGAAGAAGCUGCAGGAAACUUACAAUGUUAAAAUGGAGUAUCACACUGUAUGGAAGGGCAAGGAGAAAGCUUUGGAUGAGGUUUUUGGCACUUGGGGUAAUAGCUUUCAGUUCUUGUUCAACUUCAAAGCAGAGAUGGAAAAGAGAGAUCCUGGAAGUGUAGUGGAGGUUGACACAAUUGUAGAUGAUGCAGGUAAAAUUUGCUUUCACAGAUUCUUUAUGGCUCUUAGGCCUUGCAUAGAUGGAUUCAUUGCUGGUUGUAGGCCUUAUCUUAGCAUAGAUUCUACUGCUCUUAACGGUAAAUGGAAUGGACACUUAGCUUCAUGUACAGCACUAGAUGGGAACAAUUGGAUGUUCCCUAUUGCAUUUAAUGCAGAAUUUUGUGAAGAAAUUCCAUGGUGACACUCACAAAAACAUGUGGCCAGCCGCUAAAACCUAUAGACCUGAACGUUUUGUUUACCACAUGCAAAAUGUCCUUGCUGCUUGUCCUGAUGUUGGUCCAUAUUUGACUCAAUAUCAUAAUUUGUUGUGGAUGAGAUCUAGCUUCAACACUGAGAUCAAAUGUGAUUACAUACAUAACAACCUUGCCGAGUCUUUCAAUGCUUGGAUCAAAGAAAUAAAGGAUCUCCCUGUUGAUGAGCUAGCUGACACAUACAGACAAUGGGUAAUGAGGUUAUUUCAGGAAGGCGCAGGAAGAACAGGAUUAAGAGCUUCUUGGAAGGUGGUGGUAGCAAAAGCAAGGCAAAAGGGAAUGAAAAGGAAAAGAAAAGACUGGGAAGCCAAAAUAGAUGCAAAAAAUGUGGUGUGUUGGGCCAUAGGCAGAAUACUUGCCCAACAAAUGGCACUAGGAAAAG
Lolium rigidum is the source of this 1925-nucleotide RNA transcript. RefSeq lists it as uncharacterized. Lineage: Eukaryota; Viridiplantae; Streptophyta; Magnoliopsida; Poales; Poaceae. The record is from RefSeq and is a predicted model, not a curated record. The transcript has 5 exons.